This 253-nucleotide ribosomal RNA is filed under the name uncultured bacterium. RNAcentral's name for it is "partial 16S ribosomal RNA". It matches the Rfam family "Bacterial small subunit ribosomal RNA", at positions 524 to 776 of the family's 1533-position model. The record is from RNAcentral.
UACGGAGGGUGCAAGCGUUGCUCGGAAUUAUUGGGCGUAAAGGGUAGGCAGGUGGUCUCAUUUGUCUGGGGUGAAAGCCUUGAGCUUAACUCAAGAAGUGCCCCAGAAACGGUGGGACUGGAGUCCUGGAGAGGGUCGUGGAAUUCCCGGUGUAGCGGUGAAAUGCGUAGAGAUCGGGAGGAACACCAGAGGCGAAAGCGGCGACCUGGACAGGUACUGACACUCAACUACGAAAGCGUGGGGAGCAAACAGG